RNAcentral lists this ribosomal RNA (585 nucleotides) under uncultured bacterium. RNAcentral describes it as "partial 16S ribosomal RNA". It matches the Rfam family "Bacterial small subunit ribosomal RNA", at positions 355 to 1375 of the family's 1533-position model. The record is from RNAcentral.
UGGGGAAUUUUGGACAAUGGGCGAAAGCCUGAUCCAGCAAUGCCGCGUGUGUGAAGAAGGCCUUCGGGUUGUAAAGCACUUUUGUCCGGAAAGAAAUCCUUGGCUCUAAUACAGUCGGGGGAUGACGGUACCGGAAGAAUAAGCACCGGCUAACUACGUGCCAGCAGCCGCGGUAAUACGUAGGGUGCAAGCGUUAAUCGGAAUUACUGGGCGUAAAGCGUGCGCAGGCGGUUUGCUAAGACCGAUGUGAAAUCCCCGGGCUCAACCUGGGAACUGCAUUGGUGACUGGCAGGCUAGAGUAUGGCAGAGGGGGGUAGAAUUCCACGUGUAGCAGUGAAAUGCGUAGAGAUGUGGAGGAAUACCGAUGGCGAAGGCAGCCCCCUGGGCCAAUGCUGACGCUCAUGCACGAAAGCGUGGGGAGCAAACAGGAUUAGAUACCCUGGUAGUCCACGCCCUAAACGAUGUCAACUAGUUGUUGGGGAUUCAUUUCCUUAGUAACGUAGCUAACGCGUGAAGUUGACCGCCUGGGGAGUACGGUCGCAAGAUUAAAACUCAAAGGAAUUGACGGGGUCAUAGCUGUUUCCU